Molecule: long non-coding RNA, 530 nt
Organism: Xenia sp. Carnegie-2017
Lineage: Eukaryota; Metazoa; Cnidaria; Anthozoa; Malacalcyonacea; Xeniidae
Exons: 2
Source: RefSeq, a predicted model, not a curated record
GUCAAUCUGCACACAAGACAAUUUUCCACUAAAAAUUCCCCACACGUCUCAUACCUCCUGCAGCAAAUAUCAGACCACCAUACGUGGCCACGCCCAAACCAUCUCUUGGAAUGUUGAGAGAAUGUAAAUCUAAAAGUUCUGGCAGCAAUUGAGUCGUCUUCACUUUAUUGAUAGUCUGCAAACACACAGGAUCUGACGCAAUCAGCUGGUUUUUCUCGAUGCAGUCAACUGAAAACAUUAAUCAACAGUAAAUAAGUCUGGAGUUGAAUUAAAUGGAUACUGUUAUGGAAUUAAUACUGCAGUAAUUCUAACCAACAUAAAGCUAAUAAAUCUUAGCGCUAAAAUCAUAAAAUACGGCAAAGCCUCAACGAAUUUAACAAGCAAAAGACUUGUUAUUUAUUUUCAAAACUAUUUCAACUUUCAGCAACAUUCUUCUCAAGAGGUAAAAUUGUGAAAAAUUAUAUUUAUGUUUCGUGGAUAUUCCCCAUUUAGCAAGAAAGUUCCCCAGGAUUUCAUAAUAUUAAGAAAAA